Phoenix dactylifera (date palm) is the source of this 2719-nucleotide RNA transcript. It is a transcript of the gene named actin-related protein 8, with no coding region annotated. NCBI's taxonomy places the organism in Eukaryota, Viridiplantae, Streptophyta, Magnoliopsida, Arecales, Arecaceae. The record is from RefSeq and is a predicted model, not a curated record.
CUAGCGCUGAGAUGCACACGCGUCCAAGUACGAACACGUUAGUGGCGUUUCCCUUCCGUUCGCCGCAUACGCUCGCACGGCCCUCUCCGCCAUCUCAUCCGCCUGCUUUCCUUUUCUCCUCUCCCCUCUCUUCCUUCUCGAACCCUAACCCCUGGAAAUUCCCAACCUCCCUGCUCUCAAAACCCUAACCCUGGAUUCCUACAAACCCGUUCUUCGGUGGCUUCUUAACCGCUGCCUUGACGAGGCAAGGAACACCUCGAUUCGCUCCAAAGAUCCAAGUUUUACGUAAUUCUGGGUCAUUAUCUGGUUUCUUGGUUCUUGAAUCCGUGGAUAGCGGGAGACUCCGAUGGAGGCGCUGCUGAGGAAGGUGCGUGGAUCCGUGCUGAGCCGCUUUGGCUCGACUUCGGGUCGGAGCUCGUCGGAAUCCCCGGCUGAUCAUCUCUCGAUGGGCGCCUUUGAUCAGCUCCCAAUCGAUGUACUCGUACAGAUUCUUAGGUGCCUCGGACCGAAGGAGGUCGCAAGGACAUGUCUUGUCUGCAAGUCCUGGAAGCUUUUGGCGUCGGACAAUAGGCUUUGGAUCUUCUUCCUUCAGAACCGGAAGGAGCCCUGGGAUUCUGUUCUUUUUUCGGAGACUCACUUGAGAUUGGGGUCUCCUUCCAUGAUGUACUUUGACCAGUCACCACAGUUAUCAUUCAUGAACAUUUAUGCAAUGCGUGCCACAAUUCCAGGUUCUGUUAUCAUUGAUGGUGGAUCAGGCUAUUGCAAGUAUGGCUGGAGCAAGUAUUAUUCUCCAUCUGGACGUUGUGCUACUUUUUUGGAAUUUGGUAACAUUGAGUCACCAAUGUAUUCAAGGCUUCGUCAUUUUUUCUCGACAAUCUAUAGCAGGAUGCAGGUGAAGGCGUCAUCUCAGCCAAUUAUUAUCUCCAUCCCAAUCUGCCAUUCUGAAGAUACUGAAUCUGCUAGGGCUUCUAGAAGACAAUUGAGGGAGACUAUUUAUGCUGUCCUGUUUGAUAUGAAUGUUCCAGCUGUUUGUGCCAUUGAUCAAGCUGUUUUGGCAUUGUAUGCUGCAAAGCGCACUUCUGGAAUUGUUGUCAAUAUUGGUUUCCAUGCCACCUCCAUCGUCCCAACAGUUCUUCGGGGAAAGGUGAUGCGUGAGGUUGGUGUUGAAAUUGUGGGACAAGGUGCCUUAAAACUUACUGGAUUUCUCAGGGAGCUAAUGCAGCAGAGAAAUAUAAGUUUUGAGUCACUAUACACGGUUCGAACAAUCAAGGAGAAACUAUGCUAUGUGGCCAGUGAUUAUGAAGCAGAGUUAUGUAAAGAUACACAAGCAUCAUGUGAGGUUGCAAGUGAGGGUUGGUUCACUCUAUCAAAGGAGCGCUUCCAAACAACAGAGAUCCUUUUCCAGCCACAUAUUGGGGGGAUGCGUGCAAUGGGUUUGCAUCAAGCUGUAGCUCUUUGUAUGGAUCAUUGUUUUGAAGCAGAAGUGGCCAGUGAUGAUGGAUGGUUCAAAACUGUGGUUUUAGCAGGUGGAUCUUCAUGUUUACCUGGACUACCAGAGAGGUUAGAGAAAGAGCUGUACAAACUUCUUCCACCAUCCAUGGCUGAUGGAAUAAAAGUCAUCCCGCCACCGUAUGGCACUGAUUCUGCCUGGUUUGGAGCAAAGAUUGUCAGCAAUACUAACUGCAAGAAACUGCACCUGACCUGCAUGGCUGGAUUUUGAUACCCAGAAACAACAAGCUGAUUGCUGACGAAUUGCAGCCUUAUUGUAAAAGUUAUGAAACAAUGCAACAAAUUUCUUGCAUCAUGGGCAGCAUAGGAGGCCAUGGUUGGUUCCUUUUUCAGCAUUUCACAUGUAAUGUCACCCACUUUCAACUCACUGUAGACCAAGCCUCGUGGCUUCUGUUUCCAGCUUGGGGAUUCUUCCUUCCAUUAUCAGUCAUUAUCCAGUUAAUAGGUCUCCUCCGUCAAACUUCUGACAUUUCCAAAGCUUGUGUCCUAAUCAUCGUUCCCCAAGAGAAACAUCCAUUUUCAAAUAACCAACCUAGGUCUAUCCAUUGCCAUCAACUAGUGGGAGUGCCAUGACAUCGGUCCUUCAAGCUUCUCUCAAUAUCCUGAGCUCCAUGUAUUUCUUGAGGUGAGCACUUUCUCUGAGGCAUGGUGCAUGACCAAAAAACAGUUCCGCCAGAAGUUCCGGCGCAAGGUGACAUCUCUCAUUGGUUCAUGGUGACAAGUAUGCGGCUUUUUUCAAGCCCAAACUUGGUAGGUCAGUGGCUUUCCUUGCUCAUAGACAGAAAAUUAUACUUUGGUAAUGCUACAGAGUAGAGCUACAACAUCAUAAAUGGAGAUUCCAGAAUGUUCUCCGAGCUAUUGCACUCUCCAAUCCUGGAAAUUAUCUAGGUCUCAAUAAAUGUCAUUGUUUCUCCUCAUCUUGUUCCAUUUUAUUGUGAGAAUGCAUGCUGCUGCAAAGUGUUGUAGAUAAUCUAUGUAUAAGACGUAAGAAAAUAAUUAUCACUUGUGCUGUAGCAGUAACAGUGCUCCAGAUAUCGACGUAAAAUGUCGUGUAAGAAUGUAGUAAUAAAACAGAUUCAUAUGAUAUUUCUUUCAAAGCGUAAUGUUGUAAGUAUUGCUUUUUUGACUGGCCGUUCGGUCCUAUGGAUCGUGACUUUGUACAGAGAUCCUUACAGAUUUAAGACCAAUUUGAUUCAUGCGCUUAUUUAUC